Molecule: ribosomal RNA, 433 nt
Filed under: uncultured Lachnospiraceae bacterium
Lineage: Bacteria; Bacillati; Bacillota; Clostridia; Lachnospirales; Lachnospiraceae
Description: partial 16S ribosomal RNA
Rfam family: Bacterial small subunit ribosomal RNA
Source: RNAcentral
ACGGAGGCAGCAGUGGGGAAUAUUGCACAAUGGGGGAAACCCUGAUGCAGCGACGCCGCGUGAGUGAAGAAGUAUUUCGGUAUGUAAAGCUCUAUCAGCAGGGAAGAAAAUGACGGUACCUGACUAAGAAGCCCCGGCUAACUACGUGCCAGCAGCCGCGGUAAUACGUAGGGGGCAAGCGUUAUCCGGAUUUACUGGGUGUAAAGGGAGCGUAGACGGCUUUGCAAGUCUGAUGUGAAAGGCAGGGGCUCAACUCCUGGACUGCAUUGGAAACUGUAGGGCUGGAGUGUCGGAGAGGUAAGCGGAAUUCCUAGUGUAGCGGUGAAAUGCGUAGAUAUUAGGAGGAACACCAGUGGCGAAGGCGGCUUACUGGACGAUAACUGACGUUGAGGCUCGAAAGCGUGGGGAGCAAACAGGAUUAGAUACCCUGGUA